UCCUGACCUCAGGAGAUCCACCGGCCUCGGCCUCCCAAAGCGCUGGGAUUACAGGUGUGAGCCACCGUGCCCGGCUAAGCCCCGCUUUUCUAGAUCUUGGGCUGGGGGAGAAAAAGGAAGCCGUUUCCUCUCCACUCCCAGGGCCCAGGGAAAGGGAGGUGGUCCUGGCCCCCUGGGGAGGGCAGGACUUUGGUUGUAGGGUUGGCCCCCAGAGCCAGGGGUGGAAAGGGUCUCCAGGGGAGCUGGUGGGUCCUUCCCCGCUGGGCUCUGCUCAGCCUGUGGUGGCCACGUGGCAGGGGCCCCAUCCCAGACCUUCAGCCACUGCCAGCCCGGCCAGCCUGCGUCUGACGAUGUCAGUUCUCUCGGGUUUCCUUGAUCAGGCUUCCUCAAUGCCCAGAGCUUUGGGAUACUUCGUGGUGGCUCUCCGGGAUCCAGGUGGCCACCGUCCUCCCUGGCUCUCUGUGUUGCCCACUCCUGAGGCCCUGGCUCCUGGAUGCUUCAGCCUACGUGUGCCUCCUCGCUCUGUUUUCGUGGGUGCUACCCCUACGCAGGGCCCACCUCCUGGCUUCAGCCCCUGCCCACUCUUUGAGCAGGGGUGGAUCUCCCCAACACUCUGGCCCACACAGCUGUGCUUGCGGCCAAAUGACACAGGCGCGGCAGAGACUCUUGGAGCCUCUUCUUGAGGGGGACUCAACCUUGGGCUUCCAUGUGCAACCCUGCCGAGUCCAACGGAGCAGGAACCCAGAGUCAGGUCAGAGAGAAUCCCACCCCGAUGUCUGAGCUCCAGGAGCAGAUCAGACCUCAGUCCUCGACGCCUUCAGCAGGAUGCCCCGGCCCUGCCGCACCCUCCUGGUGAUUUUCCAGCCACGGACCCCCUCACUUCUCGGCUGUGAACCCCCCUUGUCCUGCUGCACCCAACAUAGAGCCCGUCUCUCCCUCACUGCGGGAGUCCAUAAUGAAGUCUUCCUUGCCAUUACGAUAAGCACCAGGAUAAUUUUUCCUUAACAGGUUCUCUCUAGACUGGAUCAGGGACAGUCUUGGCUGUAAAUUGUGAAUUAGCUGUGACUCUGCCACCCACGGUUGCCCGCCAGAGUUCUUUCUAAAUGUUCUAUCUGAGCCUGGCCGUUGCUCCUGGCUCUGGAGGUGCCAGAGUUUCUGAACGUUAAUCUGAGCCUGGCCGUUGCUGCUGGCUCUGGAGGUGCAGUCACACCACCCUGGCUGACACGCCUCGGCCUGACCUGCAGUCUCACCCCACAGAAGGAUCUGGGGUGAACGUCUGGCUCCAGGCACUGUUGCAGGGCUGUUGGGUCCUGUGUCUGAGCCCACAAAGGCUUCCUGGGAGCGGCAUCGCCAGCCCUGUGGACCCUGCUCCCUAUGGGCUUCUGGGUAUAGAUCAGGUGCCCAGCAUGCGCCCCCAGACAGGAGCUGCCCUCUGCCCUGCCUCUGGGACCCACUUUCACCCAAGUCCUGUGGGACUGGCAUAGCCUAGGGCCCGGGUGCUGGCAGCGUCUGGCUGGAGCCUGGGGCGGGGCAGGGCAGGGCCUUCCAGGCGCGUUCCCGAGCGUGCACUGAAGGUGUUAGCGCGUGGCACCGGAGACACCAGGCUGGAUGAGGCUGGACAAGCGCCUCCGCCAGAAGCAGCACAGGCCUGACACAGGCAAACCUCCCGGAGACCACCCCACGGACCCCAGCCCCUGCUGACCCUCCCAGGAGGCGUUGCUGGAAAUCCACCCUGAGAAUUCUGCUCCAGGAGCUGAACCAGCAGUAUCAGCAUCUUAAAGCACUGACCUACCUCUCGGCUGUGUGAUAUCUAGGGGUCCGUCCCAGACCAGCAUCCCCAGGGCUGACGGGUCUGCAGGGCACAGAGAUGUGGGACCUGCUGUGUCUCUGCCCCACAGUGGCCAUGCUGGGACACAGAGCUGCUGCUUGGGGAAGGGACAGAUUCAGACACAGUAGUGGGUUAACCUGAGGCCCUCUCAAAAGACAUGUCCACCUAGAACCUCGGGAAGGGACACGUCCGCCUGGAACCUCGGGAAGGGACGCGUCCGCCUGGAACCUCGGGAAGCGACGCGUCCGCCUGGAACCUCGGGAAGGGACGCGUCCGCCUGGAACCUCGGGAAGGGACGCGUCCGCCUGGAACCUCGGGAAGGGACGCGUCCGCCUGGAACCUCGGGAAGGGACGCGUCCGCCUGGAACCUCGGGAAGGGACGCGUCCGCCUGGAACCUCGGGAAGGGAUGCGUCCGCCUGGAACCUCGGGAAGGGAUGCGUCCGCCUGGAACCUCGGGAAGGGACGCGUCCACCUGGAACCUCGGGAAGGCCUUUGCAGAUGUGAUCGAGUUAAGGAUCUCAAGAUUCAAGAUAAGGUCACCCCAGGUUGCCUGCCUGGGCCCUGAGUCCAGUGGCGUGUCCUGGAGGGAGACCAGCAGAGGUGGAGGGCACGUCCAUGGGCUGAGAAGGGCAGGACUGUGACAGGAGGGAGGUGCAGGGCGGAUCCCCAGAGCCACUGCCUCCCCACGCUUGACCUCAGGCUCCUGGCCCCAGAACCAUGAGGGAAUAAACUGUCCUUUUAAGCCC
Molecule: long non-coding RNA, 2575 nt
Organism: Homo sapiens (human)
Lineage: Eukaryota; Metazoa; Chordata; Mammalia; Primates; Hominidae
Exons: 2
Source: RefSeq, a predicted model, not a curated record